This 298-nucleotide ribosomal RNA is filed under the name uncultured bacterium. RNAcentral describes it as "partial 16S ribosomal RNA". It matches the Rfam family "Bacterial small subunit ribosomal RNA", at positions 335 to 647 of the family's 1533-position model. The record is from RNAcentral.
ACUCCUACGGGAGGCAGCAGUGGGGAAUCUUAGACAAUGGGGAAAGCCCAUCGAUCUAGCCAUGCCGCGUGAGCGAUGAAGGCCUUAGGGUUGUAAAGCUCUUUCAGCUGGGAAGAUAAUGACGGUGACCAGCAGAAGAAGGCCCCGGCUAACUCCGUGCCAGCAGCCGCGGUAAUACGGAGGGGCUAGCGUUGUUCGGAAUUACUGGGCGUAAAGCGCACGUAGGCGGAUUGGUAAGUUGGGGGUGAAAUCCCGGGGCUCAACCCCGGAACUGCCUCCAAAACUCCCAGUCUUGAGG